UCCGGUGGUGAUGGCGGAGGGGUCACACCCGAUUCCAUUCCGAACUCGGAAGUUAAGCCCUCCAGCGCCGAUGGUACUGCACGGGCCACUGUGUGGGAGAGUAGGUCGCCGCCGGAU
Molecule: ribosomal RNA, 117 nt
Filed under: Candidatus Effluviviaceae Genus V sp.
Lineage: Bacteria; Candidatus Effluviviacota; Candidatus Effluviviaceae
Source: RNAcentral